GCCCUUGUAGCCCAAUUGGUAGAGGCAGACGACUUAAAAUCGUCGCAGGUGCGGGUUCGAAUCCCGCCAAGGGCA
This 75-nucleotide transfer RNA is filed under the name Curtobacterium sp. MCLR17_054. RNAcentral describes it as "tRNA-Leu". It matches the Rfam family "tRNA". From Rfam's summary of the family: Transfer RNA (tRNA) molecules are approximately 80 nucleotides in length. Their secondary structure includes four short double-helical elements and three loops (D, anti-codon, and T loops). Further hydrogen bonds mediate the characteristic L-shaped molecular structure. tRNAs have two regions of fundamental functional importance: the anti-codon, which is responsible for specific mRNA codon recognition, and the 3' end, to which the tRNAs corresponding amino acid is attached (by aminoacyl-tRNA synthetases). tRNAs cope with the degeneracy of the genetic code in two manners: having more than one tRNA (with a specific anti-codon) for a particular amino acid; and 'wobble' base-pairing, i.e. permitting non-standard base-pairing at the 3rd anti-codon position. The record is from RNAcentral. Lineage: Bacteria; Bacillati; Actinomycetota; Actinomycetes; Micrococcales; Microbacteriaceae.